Molecule: ribosomal RNA, 271 nt
Filed under: uncultured prokaryote
Description: partial 16S ribosomal RNA
Rfam family: Bacterial small subunit ribosomal RNA
Source: RNAcentral
CACGUAGGAGGCAAACGUUAUCCGGAUUUACUGGGCGUAAAGCGCGUGUAGGUGGUUCUGUAAGUAGGGCGUGAAAGCUCCCGGCUCAACUGGGAGAGGCCGUUCUAAACUGCAGAGCUAGAGGAUGGUAGAGGGAGGUGGAAUUCCAGGUGUAGCGGUGGAAUGCGCAGAUAUCUGGAGGAACACCAGUGGCGAAGGCGGCCUCCUGGACCAUUCCUGACACUCAGACGCGAAAGCUAGGGCAGCAAACGGGAUUAGAUACCCCGGUAGU